AUUGAACGCUGGCGGCAGGCCUAACACAUGCAAGUCGAGCGGAGCGGCUGACGGGUGAGUAAUGCCUAGGAAUCUGCCUGGUCGUGGGGGAUAACGUCCGGAAACGGGAGCUAAUACCGCAUACUAUUAGAUUAGCUUAGGUCGGAGUAGCUGGUGGGUGGGGUAAAGGCCUACAAAGGCGACGAUCCGUAACUGGCCUGAGAGGAGGAUCGGUAAAACGGGAACUGAGAAACGGUCCAGACUCUGACGGGGGGCAGCAGUGGGGAAUAUUGGACAAUGGGCGAAAGCCGGAUCCAGCCAGGCGGCGGGGGUGAAGAAGGUCUUCGGAUGGUAAAGCACGUUAAGUGGGGAGGCGUUACCAACAGAAUAAGCACCGGCUAACUUCGUGCCAGCAGCCGCGGUAAUAC
RNAcentral lists this ribosomal RNA (407 nucleotides) under uncultured bacterium. Its description in RNAcentral is "partial 16S ribosomal RNA". It matches the Rfam family "Bacterial small subunit ribosomal RNA", at positions 29 to 526 of the family's 1533-position model. The record is from RNAcentral.